UACGUAGGGUGCAAGCGUUAAUCGGAAUUACUGGGCGUAAAGCGUGCGCAGGCGGUUCGCUAAGACCGAUGUGAAAUCCCCGGGCUUAACCUGGGAACUGCAUUGGUGACUGGCGGGCUAGAGUAUGGCAGAGGGGGGUAGAAUUCCACGUGUAGCAGUGAAAUGCGUAGAUAUCUGGAGGAACACCGGUGGCGAAGGCGGCAUCCUGGACCGGUAUUGACGCUGAUGCGCGAAAGCCAGGGGAGCAAACGGG
RNAcentral lists this ribosomal RNA (253 nucleotides) under uncultured bacterium. Its description in RNAcentral is "partial 16S ribosomal RNA". It matches the Rfam family "Bacterial small subunit ribosomal RNA", at positions 524 to 776 of the family's 1533-position model. The record is from RNAcentral.